This 253-nucleotide ribosomal RNA is filed under the name uncultured bacterium. RNAcentral's name for it is "partial 16S ribosomal RNA". It matches the Rfam family "Bacterial small subunit ribosomal RNA", at positions 524 to 776 of the family's 1533-position model. The record is from RNAcentral.
UACAGAGGGUGCGAGCGUUAAUCGGAAUUACUGGGCGUAAAGCGUGCGUAGACGGUUACGUAAGUCGGGUGUGAAAGCCCCGGGCUCAACCUGGGAAUUGCAUUCGAGACUGCGCAGCUAGGGUGCGGAAGAGGGAAGCGGAAUUCCCGGUGUAGUGGUGAAAUGCGUAGAUAUCGGGAGGAACACCAGUGGCGAAGGCGGCUUCCUGGCCUGUUCUUGACGCUGAGGCGCGAAAGCUAGGGGAGCAAACGGG